Marmota monax (woodchuck) is the source of this 2602-nucleotide long non-coding RNA. RefSeq lists it as uncharacterized. The transcript is spliced from 2 exons. Lineage: Eukaryota; Metazoa; Chordata; Mammalia; Rodentia; Sciuridae. The record is from RefSeq and is a predicted model, not a curated record.
CACUACUUUCAGGGCUGAGGUCUAUCUUCUCUGCACUAACAACAACUCCUUCCACUUCUACGGACUCACUGCCUUCUGCUUGAGAGGUCACAUCACUCACUUCAUCCUGAGGCUCAGCUAGAAGACUAGAAGCCAGACUCAUACCACCCAAGAAGUAGCCUGGAGAUUCUUCUCUGGAGAACCUGAUAUUUGGAAGCCCCUCCGAUACAACAAUUGGGACUCCAUCUAGUUUCCACAUUAUGAAGCCCAUCUGUCCCUACUCAUAUUCCAACCAUAGUCAGUGCUUCACUCUUAAACAUGAACAUUUAGGAGGGACAUAAACUGGAAGAAAAAACAAAAGACAAAGCAGCAAAUAAAUGGGGACAGGGAAGCAUUUGGAAGAAUCAGAAGCAAUGCAAGAAAAAGCAAAGAAGACUCAGUGGGGAAAACACCUAUAAUUAACAUCAUCAGAAAGAAAGAACAGUACAUCCAUGAAAUAAUGUACUUUUAAAUUUUUUUAAAAGAAGAAAUUAAAAAUAGCAAAAAGUUGUGUGUGUUUGUACCAGGGAUUGAACCCAAAGAUGCAUAACCACUGAGCCACAUCCUAGCCCUCUUUUAUUUUUUAUUUUGAGACAGGGUUUUGCUAAGUUACUGAGGCUGGCUUCGAACCUGUAAUCCUCUUCCUGAGCCACUGGGAUUAUAGGCGUGUACCACCAUGCCCAGCAUGAAAAGUUUUUUCAAAAAGUUAAUGGAAGAGCUGAAAGAGAAUGAUUGAGGAACUCUCAAAGACAUAACAAAGGAGAAAUAAAAGUGAAUGGAGUUUUAAAAAAAGAAUUAAGUAAUGAGGUCCAACUCUGACUAUAAGAAAGACAAAAGACAGAAAAAGAGGAGAAAAAUAAUUUAAGAAAUAUCAGAACAAAUUUUAGAACCGAAGAAUUUUCUUAUGAAGACUAAAUGAGCCCCUAAAUGCUCAACGAUAUGAAUGAAGAAACAAAAGACUACACCAGGCUCAUUACCACGAUAUUUUACAACAUCUGAGAUUUAAAGAUCCUGAGUUGGGGGCAGGUGACAAAGAAUCAGGAAUAAAAUUGACAUUUAGGCUUUUUCAAAGCAAUGUUGAAAACUAGAAGAUAUUUCCUUCAAAAUUCUCCAAGAAAAUUAUUUCUAAUUUAGAAUUCCACAUCCUACCAAUCAAUUAUGAGGGUAAACCAAGGCAUUUUCAGACAAGCAAGAACUGAAAAUGCAAGGUUUUACUUCCCUCAUCUUCUGUCUCAAGAAGCUUCUAAAGCCGUAAAGUUGAGAAUAAAUCAGGGAAAGAUCAAGGAACAACACAGAAAACAGAAUACCCACCACAGAAGACAGGCAAAGAGAAUUUUAGAUGGUGAUAAAGCUUGAGAUGACAACUAGGCAGUGGGCCAAGAACAACCAGUUCAGACUAGAAUAGAGGAAGAAGGAGUAGCCAAGAAGAAAAUCUCUAAGGGUUUUUUUUAAAAAAAGGAAUGGAUAGAUCACCUGAUGUGGAUGAGAAUGGGAAGCCUUUAGCAGUUUCAUCAAAGUGUAAAAAUACAUUCUUAAAGAAACAAGAAAAUUUUUAAAUGAAGCAAUGAUUAGCCCCAGGAAAAAUAAGAGGUUGUUUAGUUGUAGCAUACCAAGUGGUUCAUUUGCGGACAAGAUUUACAUAGUCAUAACAUGGGAUAUUAGGAGUAAGGGGAGGCAAAUUCACAUGGGAAGUGGGGUAGGAGACAUGGAAGAAAAGGCAGCAAUUAAAAAAAAUAACUAUAAGCCUUAUGGAACUAUGUGGGUUUUAAAAUAUAAAUAUAUAUAUUUAAGAUUAAAUUUUUAAAAACAUUUUUUAAUUUUUUUAAUUUUUUAUUUUUUUGGCACUGGGGAUUGAACCCAGGGUAUUUAACCACUAAGUUAUAUUCCCAGAACUUUCCCUUUUUAUUUUAAGAAAGACUCUCUUGUUAAGUUGCUGAGAGUUAAAUUGCUGAGAUUAGCUUUGAACUUGUGAUCCUCCUGCCUCAGACUCCUGAAUUGCUGGGAUUACAGGCAUGUACCAUAGCACCCGGCUUAGAUCCUAACAUUCUAAAGCUAUAUACCCUGAUAUUUUUGCAAAUCUCCAAAUUCACAAAUACUAUUAUGGCAUUUCACAAAAAUUGCUAGAGGUAGAGGCCAACAUGGAUACACGACUUACCAGGCUCAACCACUUGUUCAGGCCAAAGUUGUUCAGGAUCCUGGGAAAUAAAUGAAAUGGAAAACUCUAAAUUCACCAAAACCAAGGGUCUACUAUGGCAACUGAGAAUAAUAUGCCAUUUUGCUAGCAUUAUACCUGGAAAUAAAUAUUGGAAUGAUGUAUCCAAGCAGUAGCCACAUGUUGGCCAUAUUCUUUUACUUUUUUUUUUUUUUAACUUUUGAUGACUUUUCUUUUUUUUUUUAAUAUAUUUUUAAUAUUUAUUUCUUAGUUUUCGGCGGACACAACAUCUUUGUUUGUAUGUGGUGCUGAGGAUCAAACCCGGGCCGCACGCAUGCCAGGCGAGCGCGCUACCGCUUGAGCCACAUCCCCAGCCCAUUUGAUGACUUUUCAACAACAAAAUAUAUCACCUGAACACACUUUCCCAAUGAA